AGAGUUUGAUCAUGGCUCAGAUUGAACGCUGGCGGCAGGCCUAACACAUGCAAGUCGAGCGGAAACGAUCCUAGCUUGCUAGGAGGCGUCGAGCGGCGGACGGGUGAGUAACGCGUGAGAAUCUACCCAUGAGUGGGGGACAACCCGGGGAAACUCGGGCUAAUACCGCAUACGCCCUACGGGGUAAAGCAGGGGACCUUCGGGCCUUGCGCUGAUGGAUGAGCUCGCGUCGGAUUAGCUUGUUGGUGAGGUAAAGGCUCACCAAGGCGACGAUCCGUAGCUGGUCUGAGAGGAUGAUCAGCCACACCGGGACUGAGACACGGCCCGGACUCCUACGGGAGGCAGCAGUGGGGAAUCUUGGACAAUGGGGGCAACCCUGAUCCAGCCAUGCCGCGUGUGUGAAGAAGGCCUUCGGGUUGUAAAGCACUUUCAGUAGGGAGGAAGGCUUACCCCUAAUACGGGUGAGUACUUGACGUUACCUACAGAAGAAGCACCGGCUAAUUUCGUGCCAGCAGCCGCGGUAAUACGAAAGGUGCAAGCGUUAAUCGGAAUUACUGGGCGUAAAGCGCGCGUAGGCGGUGUGUUAAGUCGGAUGUGAAAGCCCAGGGCUCAACCUUGGAAUUGCAUCCGAUACUGGCACGCUAGAGUGCAGUAGAGGGAGGUGGAAUUUCCGGUGUAGCGGUGAAAUGCGUAGAGAUCGGAAGGAACACCAGUGGCGAAGGCGGCCUCCUGGACUGACACUGACGCUGAGGUGCGAAAGC
RNAcentral lists this ribosomal RNA (761 nucleotides) under uncultured bacterium. Its description in RNAcentral is "bacterial SSU rRNA". It matches the Rfam family "Bacterial small subunit ribosomal RNA", at positions 8 to 760 of the family's 1533-position model. The record is from RNAcentral.